RNAcentral lists this ribosomal RNA (253 nucleotides) under uncultured bacterium. RNAcentral's name for it is "partial 16S ribosomal RNA". It matches the Rfam family "Bacterial small subunit ribosomal RNA", at positions 524 to 776 of the family's 1533-position model. The record is from RNAcentral.
UACGUAGGGUGCGAGCGUUAAUCGGAAUUACUGGGCGUAAAGCGUGCGCAGGCGGUUUUGUAAGCCAGAUGUGAAAGCCCCGGGCUUAACCUGGGAAUGGCAUUUGGGACUGCAAGGCUUGAGUGCGGCAGAGGAGACUGGAAUUCCUGGUGUAGCAGUGAAAUGCGUAGAUAUGCGGAGGAACACCGAUGGCGAAGGCAAUCCCCUGGGCCUGCACUGACGCUCAUGCACGAAAGCGUGGGGAGCAAACAGG